Molecule: ribosomal RNA, 424 nt
Filed under: uncultured bacterium
Lineage: Bacteria
Description: partial 16S ribosomal RNA
Rfam family: Bacterial small subunit ribosomal RNA
Source: RNAcentral
AAUUUUGGACAAUGGGCGCAAGCCAGAUCCAGCAAUGCCGCGUGCAGGAUGAAGGCCUNCGGGUUNUNAACUGCUUUCGUACGGANCGAAUAGCCCUGGGUUAAUACCCUGGGGUCAUGACGGUACCGUAAGAAUAAGCACCGGCUAACUACGUGCCAGCAGCCGCGGUAAUACGGAGGGUGCGAGCGUUAAUCGGAAUUACUGGGCGUAAAGCGUGCGCAGGCGGUUUUGUAAGGCAGAGGUGAAAUCCCCGGGAUCAACCUGGGAACUGCCUUAGUGACAGCAAGGCUAGAGUACGGCAGAGGGGGAUGGAAUUCCGCGUGUAGCAGUGAAAUGCGUAGAUAUGCGGAGGAACACCGAUGGAGAAGGCAAUCCCCUGGGCCUGUACUGACGCUCAUGCACGAAAGCGUGGGGAGCAAACAGG